This is a small nucleolar RNA of Lupinus angustifolius (narrow-leaved blue lupine), 93 nucleotides long. It matches the Rfam family "Plant small nucleolar RNA R71". Rfam says of the family: R71 is a member of the C/D box family of snoRNAs containing the C (UGAUGA) and D (CUGA) box motifs. Multiple nearly identical copies of this snoRNA have been identified in Arabidopsis, and it is thought to function as a 2'-O-ribose methylation guide for 18S ribosomal RNA. NCBI's taxonomy places the organism in Eukaryota, Viridiplantae, Streptophyta, Magnoliopsida, Fabales, Fabaceae. The record is from Rfam.
AAUCCAUGAUUAGGACAUUUCCUCAGCAACAUCUGGAAACGUUCCCAUGCCUCAUAAAAAGCUACCUCAACAAGUUGUCUAAAUGUUGAGAUU